Long non-coding RNA from Nerophis ophidion (straightnose pipefish), 4247 nucleotides. RefSeq lists it as uncharacterized. The record is from RefSeq and is a predicted model, not a curated record. The transcript is spliced from 2 exons. Lineage: Eukaryota; Metazoa; Chordata; Actinopteri; Syngnathiformes; Syngnathidae.
CUUUGAGACACUUGUGAUUUAGGGCUAUAUAAGUAAACAUUGAUUGAGUGAUGAUUGAUUGACUUAUGCAACGCAUACCAUCUGGUAUGCAUCAGGGAGGGUGAUGAGUGGAAAACGGCAUUUAAUACCCACCUGGGCCACUUUGAUUACCAGGUCAUGCCGUUCAGGCUGACCAACGUACCUGCCGUUUUCCAAGCCUUCGUAGACGACGUACUCAGGGACAUGAUUGAUCGACCGUUUCGUGGUUGUCUACCUUAACAAUAUCCUUAUCUUUUCUUAGACCCUGCAGGAGAAUCACCAACACGUCCGCCUUGUCCUUCAAUGACUACUGGAAUAUCGCCUUUUCGUGAAAGCCGAACAAUUUGAGUUCCACACCAUCAGUUGACAUCCUGGGCUUUGAUAUUGAGAAGGGUCACAUCAAAGCUGACCCCAAGAAGGUGGAGGCGGUGGUGGAGUGGACCCAGACCUCGACUCGGAUGGAGCUGCGGCGCUUCCUGGGAUUCGCGGUAUUCCACAGACGCUUCAUCAAAGACUUUGUGGACCCGAGAAGCCAGGAUGGCAUUCUGGAACCUCAAGAGGAGCUUUGUAUCCGCGCCUAUCCUAGUUCACCCAGAUCCUGACUGCCCAUUCAUUCUGGAGGUGGACGCCUCUGACUCCGAAAUUGGGGCUGUACUUUCCCAGCACUCCAAACGGGACAACAGUGUCCACCUAUGUGCUUAUUUUUCCAGACGCUUAUACCACGCUGAACAGAACUAUGAUGCCAGUAACAGGAAAUGACUGGCUGUGUAUCGUACACUUCGGUUUACCUGGACGGAUUCUCGCUCAUCCACGCGGACUGGAGAUUGGCCGAGAACCAGUUGGCAGCCUAGGACCUCUUGGUUUCUUUGAUGGAUCUGUUCCUUUCUCCAGUAAGCAGUGGAGAAGCCACCGCAGUGUACAGUGUGUGAGUAUUAAAUUGGUAUUUUUGUGAUGUUUUGCAAUCGUAUGUGUACAAUGUAUUCAUUGCUAAUUUUUUGUUGUGUUUUUUGUAGCCGUAUGUAGAAAUGGCUGCAUCAACUGUGUGCUCGGUUAGUGUCUUUUAUGUCCUUUGUGUUUUUCGGUGUUUCCCUCUUAUUUUCAUGUGUUUUCUUACCCUAUUUGUUGGGUUGUUUUUGUAUACAACUUAAAGGCCUACUGAAACCCACUACUACCCACCACGCAGUCUGAUAGUUUAUAUAUCAAUGAUGAAAUAUUAACAUUGCAACACAUCCCAAUACGGCCUUUUUAGUUUACUAAAUUGCAAUUUUAAAUUUCCCGGGAGUUUCGUCUUGAAAACGUCAUGUAAUGAUGACGUGUAUGCAAGACGUCACAGGUUUUUAGGAAGUAUGAGCGCUACACACACACAUAGCUAAAAGUUGUCUGCUUAACGGCAUAAUUACACAGUAUUUUGGAGAACUGUGUUGCUGAAUCUUUUGCAAUUUGUUCAAUUAAUAUUGGAGAAGUCAAAGUACCAAGAUGGAGUUGGGAAGCUUUAGCCUUUAGCCCCCCAAACACACGGUGAUUCCUUGUUUAAAAUUCCUGGAGGUGAAAAUUUACUAUGGAUCAGAGUGCGGUCAAGCGAACAUGAAACACGACGGAAUGUCAACCAGCAGGUUUCGGUCAGAAAAUUGUGGUUAAAAAGUCGUUUCUUACCGGAGAAAAGCUGAGCUUGCCCCGUCCAUAGUUGCCGUCAACUCCCCUGAGACACUGCGCCCGUGGAUGUACACCUCCGACUAUCAGGUACUAUUUAACUCACUAAAACACUAGCAACAUAAUAGAAAGAUAAGGGAUUUCCCAAAAUUAUCUUACUAAAUGUGUCUAAAAACAUCGGAAUCCGUCCCAAUGCAAUCAGGUAUUUUUUUAUUUUUUUUUACUUUUUAUUAUUUUUUUUCUAGUCCGUGGCUAUCAAUAUCUUGAAACACGAUUCUUUCAUCCUCGCUCAAAUUAAUGGGGAAAUUGUUGUUUUCUCGGUCCGAAUAGCACUUUUUGUUGGAGGCUCACAUUCUAAACAAUGUGAAUAUGUGAGGAGCCCCCACACCUGCGACGUCAUCGUCUGCGACUUCCGGUAAAGGCAGGGCUUUUGUCCUAGCACCGAAAGUUGCGAACUUUAUCGUGGAUGUUCUCUAUUAAAUCCUUUCAGCAAAAAAUGGCAAUAUUGCGAAAUGAUCAAGUAUGACACAUAGAAUGGACCUGCUAUCCCCGUUUAAAUAACAAAAUCUCAUUUCAGUAGGCCUUUAACCACAUAAUUUCCCCAAUGGGGUUUGAGUCAGGCCAUUAAAGGGAACAUUAUCACAAUUUCAAAAGGGUUAAAACCAAUAAAAAUCAGUUCCCAGAGGCUUAUUUUAUUUUUUGAAGUUUUUUUCAAAAUUUUACCAGUCCCGGAAUAUCCCUAAAAAAAGCUUUAAAGUGCUUGAUUUUCGCUAUUUGCUUAAGCCACUGUCUAUUUCCCUGUGACGUCACAUAGCGAUUCCAAUACAAACAAUGGCGAAUAGCACAGCAAGAUACAGCGACAUUAGCUCGGAUUCAGACUCGGAUUUCAGCGGCUUAAGCGAUUCAACAGAUUACGCAUGUAUUGAAACAGAUGGUUGGAGUAUGGAGGCAGAUAGCGAACACGAAAUUGAAGAAGAAACUGAAUCUAUUGAGCGAAUAGCUAUUGAUGCUAUUCGGCCAUGCAUGUCUGCGUUAGCAUCGCCGGUAAAAUGUGCAGACCAACCGUUCAGGACUUUUGCAUUAACUCUGGAUCAACUUAAAUCUGUCGAUUGGUAAGUGUUUGUUUCGCAUUAAAUGUGGGUGGAAAGAAACACUGGAUGUAAAUAUAGUAUCAAAUGUACAUUCAGGUAGCCUGAAUAGCAUGUUAGCAUUGAUUAGCUGGCAGUCAUGCCAAGACCAAAUAUGUCUGAUUAGCACAUACGUCAAUAACAUCAACAAAACUCACCUUUAUGAUUUCGUUGACUUUAUCGUUGGGAAUGCAUCUGCUUUGAGUGUCACAGGAUAUCCAGACAUUCUUGUAAUCUCUGUGCCAUCUCUGUCGUAGCAUCCCCGGUAAAAACCAAAUGAGGGACUUUCGCAUCUCUUGACACUGGAGCAACUUAAAUCUGUCGAUUGCUAAGUGUUUGUUUGGCAUUAAAUGUGGAUGGAGGGAAAGGCUGGAUGUAAAUAUAGCUACAAAUGAGGCGUAAUGCUGCAAUAUGUACACACAGCUAGCCUUAAUAGCAUGUUAGUGUAACAAACAGUUCAGGGUGUCCCUCCAGUGUUGCCGUAGGGCUGUGACGUAAGGGGUCUAUAUAAAGGUGGGUUGUUGAAGAAGGUGAGGUAUAUGGAGAGAGGUGUAAAGAAGGGAACAAUGAAGAAGUGGUGGAGACCGGACCUGCUCUCAUGACUCCCUUUUAUUAUUUUAUUUUAUCAGUACCCGGAAUAUGCGAACCCAGGAUACUCGGCUACAAUGGUGGCAGCGGUGGGAUUAUUUUAACUGCUGUGUUAAAAAAAAAAGAAGAAAGUUUUACACGGGACACGUGAGUUUCCAGUUAGCUGCUAAGCUUCCCGGCCAUUUUGCGGACACGUAGUGUGGUGACACGACUCUUUUUAAGCCCGGAAGCGCUGUUUGACGGACACUCACAUGGCAUGAAUGUCGAAAGUGGACUUUUUUAUUAAACCGCUUCUUUCACCGACGGACGGAGCCGACCGCGACUGCAACCAGGAGCUGGUGAGGAUUUUCGGAUCCUCCCGACUCGUCCCGUGGGAGACUGGGGGCAGUUUUUAAACAAAGACAAUUAAUGGACCGCUUCGGGGCCAACCUGCCGGCGAGUGUGCGUGCUCCGGGGGAGAGCUUGGAGGUGUUUGCUGCGGGCGUGGUCCGGCUGGUUGCGGAGGCGUUCCCGCGGUCUUGCUGCUGGCCCUUAGCGCCGAGAGACAGCCGACGGUGGCGUGAGAAGUACAGAGCGUGUCGGACCCGUUGGUGCCCUUAACGUCCCCGUGGGCGGGUCCCAGGGUUGUCGCCCCCCCGGAGGGUGGUCAUGGACGUUCUGGAUGUGGCCCGGAGGUUCCCAUGGGGGGCGUGGGGGGCCCAGGGUGUUUCCCCUUCAAUUAGACUCUGUCAGUUGCUUGAAAAAAAAGGACGCGCACCACUGCCUAUAACCCCAAGUCUGACGGCAUGAUGGAGCGUCGUAAACGAACUAUCUCACAAACGGACUAUCUCGCAGGGGGUGACUGGGGUAACCUCAUGCGCACCA